CCUACGGGGGGCUGCAGUGGGGAAUAUUGGACAAUGGGCGAAAGCCUGAUCCAGCCAUGCCGCGUGUGUGAAGAAGGCCUUCGGGUUGUAAAGCACUUUCAGUGGGGAAGAAAGCCUUGGGGCUAAUACCCUCGAGGAAGGACAUCACCCACAGAAGAAGCACCGGCUAACUCCGUGCCAGCAGCCGCGGUAAUACGGAGGGUGCGAGCGUUAAUCGGAAUUACUGGGCGUAAAGCGCGCGUAGGCGGUCUGAUAAGCCGGUUGUGAAAGCCCCGGGCUCAACCUGGGAACGGCAUCCGGAACUGUCAGGCUAGAGUGCAGGAGAGGAAGGUAGAAUUCCCGGUGUAGCGGUGAAAUGCGUAGAGAUCGGGAGGAAUACCAGUGGCGAAGGCGGCCUUCUGGACUGACACUGACGCUGAGGUGCGAAAGCGUGGGUAGCAAACAGGAUUAGAUGCCCUGGUAGUC
RNAcentral lists this ribosomal RNA (465 nucleotides) under Vreelandella stevensii. RNAcentral describes it as "partial 16S ribosomal RNA". It matches the Rfam family "Bacterial small subunit ribosomal RNA", at positions 338 to 795 of the family's 1533-position model. Lineage: Bacteria; Pseudomonadati; Pseudomonadota; Gammaproteobacteria; Oceanospirillales; Halomonadaceae. The record is from RNAcentral.